RNAcentral lists this ribosomal RNA (424 nucleotides) under uncultured bacterium. RNAcentral describes it as "partial 16S ribosomal RNA". It matches the Rfam family "Bacterial small subunit ribosomal RNA", at positions 360 to 776 of the family's 1533-position model. The record is from RNAcentral.
AAUAUUGGACAAUGGGCGAAAGCCUGAUCCAGCCAUGCCGCGGGUGUGAAGAAGGUCUUCGGAUUGUAAAGCACGUUAUGUUGGGAGGAAGGGCAGUAAGUUAAUACCUGUCUGUUUAGACGUGACCGACAGAAGAAGCACCGGACAACUACGUGCCAGUAGCCGCGGUAAUUCGGAAGGUGCAAGCGUUAAUCGGAACUACUGGGCGUAAAGCGCGAGUAGGUGGUUUGUUAAGUUGUAAGUGAAAGCCCCGGGCUCAACCUGGGAACUGCUUUCAAAACUGGCAAGCUAGAGUAUUGCAGAGGGUGGUGGAAUUUCCUGUGUAGCGGUGAAAUGCGUAGAUAUAGGAAGGAACACCAGUGGCGAAGGCGACCACCUGGGCUAAUACUGACACUGAGGUGCGAAAGCGUGGGGAGCAAACAGG